RNAcentral lists this ribosomal RNA (964 nucleotides) under uncultured bacterium. RNAcentral describes it as "bacterial SSU rRNA". It matches the Rfam family "Bacterial small subunit ribosomal RNA", at positions 71 to 1013 of the family's 1533-position model. The record is from RNAcentral.
UUGAUCCUGGCUCAGAGUAGCAUUCUCCCCGAUGUUAGCGGCGGACGGGUGAGUAACACGUGGGUAACCUGCCUGUAAGACUGGGAUAACUCCGGGAAACCGGAGCUAAUACCGGAUAGUUCCUUGAACCGCAGGGUUCAAGGAUGAAAGACGGUUUCGGCUGUCACUUACAGAUGGACCCGCGGCGCAUUAGCUAGUUGGUGAGGUAACGGCUCACCAAGGCCACGAUGCGUAGCCAACCUGAGAGGGUGAUCGGCCACACUGGGACUGAGACACGGCCCAUACUCCUACGGGAGGCAGCAAUAGGGAAUCUUCCGCAAUGGACGAAAGUCUGACGGAGCAACGCCGCGUGAGUGAUGAAGGUUUUCGGAUCGUAAAGCUCUGUUGUUAGGGAAGAACAAGUGCAAGAGUAACUGCUUGCACCUUGACGGUACCUAACCAGAAAGCCACGGCUAACUACGUGCCAGCAGCCGCGGUAAUACGUAGGUGGCAAGCGUUGUCCGGAAUUAUUGGGCGUAAAGGGCUCGCAGGCGGUUUCUUAAGUCUGAUGUGAAAGCCCCCGGCUCAACCGGGGAGGGUCAUUGGAAACUGGGAAACUUGAGUGCAGAAGAGGAGAGUGGAAUUCCACGUGUAGCGGUGAAAUGCGUAGAGAUGUGGAGGAACACCAGUGGCGAAGCGACUCUCUGGUCUGUAACUGACGCUGAGGAGCGAAAGCGUGGGGAGCGAACAGAUUAGAUACCCUGGUAGUCCACGCCGUAAACGAUGAGUGCUAAGUGUUAGGGGUUUCCGCCCCUUAUGCUGCAGCUAACGCAUUAAGCACUCCGCCUGGGGGAGUACGGUCACAGACUGAAACUCAAAGGAGUGGACGCGGGCCGCACAAGCGGUUGUAGCAUGUGGUUUAAUUCCAAAGCAACGCGAAGACCCUUACAAGUCAUGACAUCCUCUGACCAUAGAGAGGCUUUCC